Spinacia oleracea (spinach) is the source of this 139-nucleotide non-coding RNA. NCBI's taxonomy places the organism in Eukaryota, Viridiplantae, Streptophyta, Magnoliopsida, Caryophyllales, Amaranthaceae. The record is from Rfam.
UAUAUUGAGGGAAGAUAAAUUCACAAUUAUCUUCAAUCAAUCGAAAGAGAAGGCAAAAACAAAGACGAGCUAUCGUUUCAGUCGUCAUCUUGUACAUUUUUUUUCUCAAUUGACGAUUCGAUUGUUGACUCGCCUACAU